This 29-nucleotide non-coding RNA is filed under the name Mus musculus (house mouse). The record is from RNAcentral. Lineage: Eukaryota; Metazoa; Chordata; Mammalia; Rodentia; Muridae.
UAGAAAGCGCCAUCGGUGGUAAUGCCUAC